CAAUUGACAGGAAGCCAGUGACAGCUUUCAGAGUGAAGUGAUUAAGGAAGAACAGAAGACAAGGAAAGUGACCUUCCCCGGCAACAGUGGCUUGGAUGGAUUGAUAAAGGUGUAGUUCCCUACUAGGAGACCAACAAAAAUACAGAAAGGAACUCAAGAAAGACCCAGAGGGGUUAAAUUGUCCUACCAAAAUCCCUAUGCAGGCAUCUGUCCCUGAUGGCUCAUUCAGCAUCCUCAAGUCUUCAGCAAAAAAUCCCCUGGAAGACCCUGCCCUGCAGCCCCUGGUAAGAAGGAUGUCCUCUGGGAAGGUCCAUGAACAGGAUCCUUGGAUGGGCAUGUUGUCUGUGACUCAGGAAUCUAAGAAACUCAGUGCCUGGAAAAGUCCACAUCUCUGUGCUAUAGAACAGCCACGCAGUGAAGUACUAUAGUAUUAAUGUGGGAGGCUGUGGAAAUGCCAUCCUGGAGCAUUUUAAGGACAGUUUAGAAAACAGAUAAGGAAUUACAGAUCACACAUGAAGGCAGAAGAGUCUUCCUGGACACCUGGGCAACACUGGCUG
RNAcentral lists this long non-coding RNA (557 nucleotides) under Parus major (Great Tit). RNAcentral describes it as "lncRNA (ENSPMJG00000006355.1)". The record is from RNAcentral. Lineage: Eukaryota; Metazoa; Chordata; Aves; Passeriformes; Paridae.